CUCAUUUUUGUUUUACGUCAUAAUGGAGGAGACGCAGCUAUACCUGGGGCUUAGCCAAGACCGAGGCCAGUUUGAUGUCUUCCCAGAGCAGCUCCACCAGCUUCCACUCACUCCCUCACCUGUCCCAGGACACUUGCAAUCCUAAGCCAGGCAACAGUCACAGGAUGGCAGGAAAAUCUGAGAGGCAAAACCACAAAGGUGCAGGCUGCUGCUAAAGUCAGGACAAAUGGUGGUCAAAAUCUGUUGGGCAAUCAGUACCAGAGAAUAAGAGGGAAGUAGACCAGGAGCAUAAAUCAGGAUGAAAAAGCUCAGCGGGAGGUUGACAGGCAGAGAAUCCUGGAGUCAAUAGGAAAAAACUAGACUGGACAAACUGACAGAUUAAAAACAACUGCUGAGAGCUCAAGAGCAAACAAGAAUCUGACACAGAAUAUCACACUCAAGGGAAAUAAGUAAAGCAACAAUUGAGCAGGACAACGAGC
This is a long non-coding RNA of Cyprinus carpio carpio, 479 nucleotides long. The record is from Ensembl. NCBI's taxonomy places the organism in Eukaryota, Metazoa, Chordata, Actinopteri, Cypriniformes, Cyprinidae.